AGCGAACGCUGGCGGCAGGCCUAACACAUGCAAGUCGAACGCACCUUCGGGUGAGUGGCGGACGGGUGAGUAACACGUGGGAACGUACCUUUAGGUUCGGAAUAACGCAGGGAAACUUGCGCUAAUACCGAAUGUGCCCUUCGGGGGAAAGAUUUAUCGCCUUUAGAGCGGCCCGCGUUAGAUUAGCUAGUUGGUGAGGUAAUGGCCCACCAAGGCUACGAUCUAUAGCUGGUCUGAGAGGANGAUCAGCCACACUGGGACUGAGACACGGCCCAGACUCCUACGGGAGGCAGCAGUGGGGAAUCUUGCGCAAUGGGCGAAAGCCUGACGCAGCCAUGCCGCGUGAAUGAUGAAGGUCUUAGGAUUGUAAAAUCCUUUAGCAGGACGAUAAUGACGGUACCUGCAGAAAAACG
This 413-nucleotide ribosomal RNA is filed under the name uncultured bacterium. RNAcentral's name for it is "bacterial SSU rRNA". It matches the Rfam family "Bacterial small subunit ribosomal RNA", at positions 29 to 491 of the family's 1533-position model. The record is from RNAcentral.